UGGGGAAUAUUGGACAAUGGGCGCAAGCCUGAUCCAGCAAUGCCGCGUGUGUGAAGAAGGCCUUCGGGUUGUAAAGCACUUUUAUCAGGAGCGAAACGCUGUCGGCUAAUACCCGGCGGAACUGACGGUACCUGAGGAAUAAGCACCGGCUAACUUCGUGCCAGCAGCCGCGGUAAUACGAAGGGUGCAAGCGUUAAUCGGAAUUACUGGGCGUAAAGCGUGCGUAGGCGGUUUCUUAAGUCUGCUGUGAAAUCCCCGGGCUCAACCUGGGAAUGGCAGUGGAUACUGGGAGGCUAGAGUGUGUCAGAGGGUGGUGGAAUUCCCGGUGUAGCGGUGAAAUGCGUAGAGAUCGGGAGGAACAUCAGUGGCGAAGGCGGCCACCUGGGACAACACUGACGCUGAGGAGCGAAAGCAUGGGGAGCGAACAGGAUUAGAUACCCUGGUAGUCCAUGCCGUAAACGUUGGGCACUAGGUGUGGGGGUCCAUUCCACGGAUUGCCGCGCCGCAGCAAACGCAUUAAGUGCCCCGCCUGGGGAGUACGGCCGCAAGGCUAAAACUCAAAUGAAUUGACGGGGUCAUAGCUGUUUG
RNAcentral lists this ribosomal RNA (588 nucleotides) under uncultured bacterium. Its description in RNAcentral is "partial 16S ribosomal RNA". It matches the Rfam family "Bacterial small subunit ribosomal RNA", at positions 355 to 935 of the family's 1533-position model. The record is from RNAcentral.